RNAcentral lists this unclassified non-coding RNA (666 nucleotides) under Crocus caspius. RNAcentral's name for it is "sequence contains ITS1, 5.8S rRNA gene, ITS2". The stretch from base 234 to 389 matches the Rfam family "5.8S ribosomal RNA". Lineage: Eukaryota; Viridiplantae; Streptophyta; Magnoliopsida; Asparagales; Iridaceae. The record is from RNAcentral.
UCGAGACCCGAACGAACGGACGACCGCGAACGUGUUACAGCAUACGCUUACUCACUUACCACUCCGCCUCGUCCCGCCGCUCCUCGCGGCGCGGCGCGGCGAGACGGAGGAAACGAAACCCCGGCGCGGUGGGCGCCAAGGAACACUUUUUGGAAGCGCCGUCGCGGCCUCCUCCCCUCCCUCGGGGAGGGGAGGGGGAACGCGGGCGUGGAUACAGAUAUCGUAUUUUGUACGACUCUCGGCAACGGAUAUCUAGGCUCUCGCAUCGAUGAAGAACGUAGCGAAAUGCGAUACUUGGUGUGAAUUGCAGAAUCCCGUGAACCAUCGAGUCUUUGAACGCAAGUUGCGCCCGAGGCCAUCCGGCCGAGGGCACGCCUGCCUGGGCGUCACGCCUCCCGUCGCUCCCCACAGCCGUGCGGAUGCGGAGAUUGGCCCACCGUGCCUCGUGCGCGGCGGGUCGAAGUACGGGCCGUCGUCGGGCCGUGCGCGGCGAAUGGUGGACGAAUACAUGCAUGCACACACUUAACUGUCUGUCUGUCUGUUUGUUUGUUUUGUGCUUACUCUCCGUGCCCCGGCCCUCAACAGAGCGACGUGCCGUCGUCGGACCCCAUACCAAGGACUCUUACUUACUUACUUACGUAAACGUAAGGAAUCGUCCUCGGAACG